GCACUUACCUGGACGGGGUCAAUGCGUGAUCAAGAAGACCCAUUGCCUGGAUUAGUGGCCUCCAUUGCACUUGGGAGGAGCACUGGUGCACCAUCCCCUCUAGUAGGAGAAUGGACGUCAUAAUUUGUGAUAGAAGAGGUACGCGUUCGCGCGGCCCCUGC
RNAcentral lists this small nuclear RNA (161 nucleotides) under Triticum aestivum (bread wheat). Its description in RNAcentral is "snRNA U1". It matches the Rfam family "U1 spliceosomal RNA". From Rfam's summary of the family: U1 is a small nuclear RNA (snRNA) component of the spliceosome (involved in pre-mRNA splicing). Its 5' end forms complementary base pairs with the 5' splice junction, thus defining the 5' donor site of an intron. There are significant differences in sequence and secondary structure between metazoan and yeast U1 snRNAs, the latter being much longer (568 nucleotides as compared to 164 nucleotides in human). The record is from Rfam by way of RNAcentral. RNAcentral also lists the same sequence under 1 other name. Lineage: Eukaryota; Viridiplantae; Streptophyta; Magnoliopsida; Poales; Poaceae.